GUCGACUCAGUGGUCCCGGAAAAUGACAUCGACCUCCCUUCCUUGGCGGAUACCUUGUGGUUCCCGCCUCAAGGCUUUACGGUGAUCCGUGUUUUGACUUUCAAUACAAUGUCUGCUGGGUGAUGGCAGAGGUCUGCCGAUCCACCUCUCUAGCUCCCAGCCAGUUCACUUCCUGACCAUUCUCUUCAAGUCCUUUUCAACCUAUCAGGGUCGGAGGUCUUUGGCGAGAUGGUUCUUGGUGUUUAUCGCCCGGUUGAGGUGGCUCCUAGGUGCUGCCGGUACA
RNAcentral lists this long non-coding RNA (283 nucleotides) under Eutrema salsugineum. Its description in RNAcentral is "long non-coding RNA (ESAL_LNC001304)". The record is from RNAcentral. Lineage: Eukaryota; Viridiplantae; Streptophyta; Magnoliopsida; Brassicales; Brassicaceae.